CACAGGCAAAAAAAGAGGAGAGAAAAUUGUCUUCCCUCAGGAAGUGAGAAGGAGCUUCUGGGAUUCUAUGACAGGCCGAGGGGGAUUUUACCCAGGUGUUCACCAAGGGGCAAAGCUGGCUCCCAGCUGCCAGCUGUCACUACUAAGUGGGGAACCAAGAGAGAGCCAGUGACCCAAAAACUCCCUCCUUGAGCACAACCUCUCCUCAUCUCUCCUUUCCCUUUUUGUGUGUCCGGAUCUGACCAUGUAAAUUAUACUGCAAGAUGUGCAACAGGGAUGUCCAUAUCAUAUACAAUAAUUUCCAUGCAUUUGAGUUUGCAUUUGUAUUGCUACUCUCAUUGACAUGGGAGUAAAUCAGAGCUUUGUGAGGCAGUUGAGUGGGAUGCAGCCUCUGUACACAAUGGCUGAUGAUUUUGCUCUGUUCCCUCCUCCGCUGAAGUGCCAGAGCAUCCUUCCUCCCCAAAGUGCACCUCUCCAAACAUGCAAUGAUAGCGCUGAUUUUAAUUACCUCUCACGACUGCCGAGGUUGUGGCUGCCUGACGCGCAGCGGGGAGGAUCUUCUGGAUUUAUCUCUGGAAACACCUGCACUGCUUUUGCUCUCUCUCUCUCUCUCUCUCUCUCUCUCCUAGACAGAUGUGUUCGGUCAUCUCCUCUAAGCAAUACUUAAUGACUCUGAAGACAAAAAGGGUUCUGCUAAGACGAACACUGCAAAGCUGGCAUGAUGAGGUCCUUCUUGAACGUUAUGCCACAUGGAUGCCCUUCACAAGAGCCCCUGGGGGAUGUGUUCGGAGCCCUUCAUCUCAUCAAACCCUGCUGCUGUCUUCAAAACAAGAGACGCACAAAUGAAAACACUCAACUUUAAGGAAACAUUGCUAAUGUUUGAUGGCGUUGAUUAGCUGAAGUGUUACAUAAGAAGCAAUAAACCAAUGACAAAUAUAUUUAUUUAAUUUUAUUAAA
Long non-coding RNA from Carassius gibelio (silver crucian carp), 957 nucleotides. RefSeq lists it as uncharacterized. The transcript has 2 exons. The record is from RefSeq and is a predicted model, not a curated record. NCBI's taxonomy places the organism in Eukaryota, Metazoa, Chordata, Actinopteri, Cypriniformes, Cyprinidae.